RNAcentral lists this long non-coding RNA (620 nucleotides) under Homo sapiens (human). RNAcentral describes it as "non-protein coding lnc-TAF4B-10:2". The record is from RNAcentral. Lineage: Eukaryota; Metazoa; Chordata; Mammalia; Primates; Hominidae.
UUCUGGGAUUACAGGCGUUAGCCACCACCUGUGCCCGGCCCUAUUAUGGUUGGUAAUUUAAAUCAAGAGCUAAACAAGGUCAAUGUAUUUAAUUUGUUAUACUUCUUCAAUCUCUUUUAGUAUAGAGCAGUUCCCCCUUUUUUUUCUUUCAUGCUAUUGACUUGUUUCAGAAGCAAGUUAGUUUCUUGUAGGUCACUCCAUAUUUUGCAUUUCGGAAGUCUGUGUUUUCCUUUGUGACAUUAUGUGUCCUGUUCUGUAGCCCCUAUAUUUCCUUUAAAUGGAAAUAAUCCAGUCUGAGAGUUUUGUCUCUUAACUGAGGAUUUUGAUCCAUUUAGAUUGGUUGAGAUUACUGAUAUUUAAAAUUCAUUCCUACCAUCUCAUUUUUGCUUUCUAAUUGCCUGCUUUUUCUUUGGUUCUUCUUAACAUCUUUUCUACUUAAAAAAAAAAGUAUUUCCUUUAUCCUCUUUUAAACAUUUGAUUUCUAUUCUUUUAGUGACUGUUUUUCAAUUUUUUUUUUUUUUUUUUGUGACGGAGUUUCACUCUUGUUACCCAGGUUGGAGUGCAAUGACGUGAUCUCGGCUCACCACAAUCACCACCUCCCAUGUUCAAGCGACUCUCAG